This 366-nucleotide ribosomal RNA is filed under the name uncultured bacterium. RNAcentral's name for it is "partial 16S ribosomal RNA". It matches the Rfam family "Bacterial small subunit ribosomal RNA", at positions 355 to 715 of the family's 1533-position model. The record is from RNAcentral.
UGGGGAAUUUUGGACAAUGGGCGCAAGCCUGAUCCAGCCAUGCCGCGUGCGGGAAGAAGGCCUUCGGGUCGUAAACGCUUUGUCAGGGAAGAAACUUCUGAGUUAAUACCUCGGGGAGGAUGACGGUACCUGAAGAAUAAGCACCGGCUAACUACGUGCCAGCAGCCGCGGUAAUACGUAGGGUGCAAGCGUUAAUCGGAAUUACUGGGCGUAAAGCGUGCGCAGGCGGUUUUGUAAGACAGAGGUGAAAUCCCCAGGGCUCAACCUGGGAACUGCCUUUGUGACUGCAAGGCUUGAGUGCGGCAGAGGGGGAUGGAAUUCCGCGUGUAGCAGUGAAAUGCGUAGAUAUGCGGAGAACACCGAUGG